CGGGAUGUAGCGCAGUGGGAGCGCGCCUGCACGGGACGCAGGAGGUCGCCGGUUCGAUUCCGGCCAUCCCGACUAUCGAGAUGAGGCGCAGUGGUCGCGCACCGGUUUCGGAAACCGGGGGUCGCCGGUUCGAGUCCGGUCAUCUCGA
RNAcentral lists this transfer RNA (148 nucleotides) under Plesiocystis pacifica SIR-1. Its description in RNAcentral is "tRNA-Pro". The stretch from base 1 to 72 matches the Rfam family "tRNA". The record is from RNAcentral. Lineage: Bacteria; Pseudomonadati; Myxococcota; Nannocystales; Nannocystaceae.